Long non-coding RNA from Passer domesticus (house sparrow), 6880 nucleotides. RefSeq lists it as uncharacterized. NCBI's taxonomy places the organism in Eukaryota, Metazoa, Chordata, Aves, Passeriformes, Passeridae. The transcript has 7 exons. The record is from RefSeq and is a predicted model, not a curated record.
GGUGCGAUCCUAGAUUAGGCCCGCAGCUCAUUUCAGAAAGCUGACAAUCUCCGCUAGCUGCGCGAAACACAAAGGUCUCCGGGUCUCUGCAGGCUCCGGCCGAUAACGCCGCGCUGGGAUCAUCUGCGGGCUCCGUGGCUCCCGCGUAUUGUCUGGCUCUCCUUCAAGGGCUGCCUUACGGACUCUGAGCCUUCAAACAAAACCUGUCGUCUCCAGCACUAAACCGAAAAUCCCAUUCAACUUGAAGCACACAACACCAUUCGCUUACGUACAAGAAAAAUUAGUUUUCAUUGAGUAUGUACUCAUCUGCACUAACAUUUCGUAUACAGAGCCUUUGUUUCCAUAAGCAGGUUGAUUUUUUCCCAACAGAUCAGCCUAUUGGGAUAAUUUACUCCUUUUGCAUAUAUUUUGUAUGCUCUUCUUAUUGUGGAUUUUUCACUCUGAAAGCAUUUAAGUGGAAUUCUGCAGCACCUGUUCUUUUUUAGUCUGAAAAUUGUGUAGGUCUCACAUUGUCCCAAACUCAUAAUUCUAAGCAGGAGGCUUACCUGAUUUUAAUUUUUUUUAUUUUCUGUUGCUCUUUCACACAGUGACAAGUACCAUGUCUCAAUUGUCUUUUGCUGAUGUCUGCUGUACUAGGCACUUGGACAAAAAUAUCUCACCAUAUGUGUGAGAAGACACUGUAACCCACAAACUGUAGUACCAUGUUUCUUUUGUGGUACUUACCUAUGCAUCUCAAUACCACAGGCAUGUAAAACACAAGGCCAGAAAAUAACUAAAUAAGGUUAAUAAAAAUGACAUAGAUUGGAGAAGCCAGAGCAAGCAACUAGAAACAUUUAAACAGUACAUUCAAAUUAUUUGUAUCUGUUUGGAAAAACAGCUUCUGUUGUUAAAGAGGUUUUAAUUGUAUAAUUUACUUUUUUAAAAGCCAAUUCUAAAAAGGAAAAAAAAGGAUAAAAAGGACUGAUGCAGAAACUAAUAAAUCACAGGUGAAAAUUAUUCUAAUAAAAUAAGCAAAUGUUUAGGAAACUUAAGUCACACCAGCUUUUGGGUACGUGAAAGGAAAUUACAAGGAUUUUCUUGGUUUGCAGUAUGUAUGUGAUACUCCUGUACACAUAAUGUGAUUAGUAUUAUAGUAACAACAGUACUAAAAAUGUCAAUAUUAACAGCACUGAUAGUAAAACCAGAAAAUGGCAAAACCAAAGCAGAACCAAGUGGAGCAAAUUAAUGAGCCUUUAGUCUAAGACUCAAACCAGCUGUUUCUCCAAAGGAUUGAAAUGGUGUAUCCUCAUUCUGUAUUAGUCUACAGCUGAGGGAUCACUGACAUAUGAGCAGUCUGACUCUGAAUUCCAGCUAGAAGCAGAGACUUCAGGGCGCCUCUGCUCUUUGCUACAGGAAUGCAGAAUUCACAGCAUCGCGUGCAUUGGGCACUUGCAAGGAAAGCUUUCUUAUUACAUGAAGUAGAAAGGCAGUGUGCAAGUUGAUUUGUGACAUUGCUCUUCAUAUCUCAAUGCAAAGAGAAAGCCAAGAAAUAACGAAAAAACCCUCAAGUCUCCUGUUAAUCAUGGAAGUUGACAUUGUUACUGGCAUGUUUCUCGCAUGAAGCAAACAUUCUAUAAAUUAAGGGAGAUACAGCAUAAUAGUAUAGCUUGAAACUUUCUCCCGCUUACUGAUUCACCAUCUGAUUUCCAUUACAUAUGGAGAACUUCAUCCCAGCAUCUCUAAUAUGGAAAGGUAGUGAACCUCCAGAAGAGAAAUCUCCAUUCACCUUACACUUAUGGAUAAGGUGGGGGAAGAAGCUCGACCUGUAAACUUUGCUGCAUUAAAGAAAUAUACAAGUUCAUAAGUUUUCAUAGAAUUCCAGGUUAACUUUGUCAAUUCUGAUGUUGUAAAAAGUGAAUGAAUUGGCACGACCUGUAGAAAUCUCAGGAAACGUUUGAAAUUUCUUCAGCUGGCUGUAUAUCAAGCAUACAGUGAAAAAAGGAAAUAGAAGGAAAGUAGAAAAGAAGGGCAAAAGGCGAAAUGGUUGUGGUUUUGAACAGUGAAGAUAGCAAUCUCUCAGGAAAAAAAGACGACCACUUUUUGUACUGUUACACUAAACAAUGUCUGGUGAAACACAGACAAUAGCAGGGAUAUUGGCACCUCAGCUUCUGGCUUUUAAGUGAAUCAAAUAUGAUGUGAUUAUGAGAAGUUUUGUAUGAGAUAUAAAAUUAGUUUGUGACCUAUUUAAGAAGGAAAAGUUUUUCCACAUUUGAAAAAGCAUUAAACUUUGCAAAAAUCUCAUUUCAGUUCUUCACCUGCAUUUCCUGACAGGAGGAAACGGAAGAUUUGCCUAAAGUCCAGCAACAUCUUGUGAGGAGUGAGGAAUGGUAUUGUUUAAGGUGUUCAAGCCAGUAGGAUCAAGUAUGUGGCUGGAAGAAGGUGGCUGAGGCAGGAAUGGCAGUGGACAAAGAUGAAAACUACACCAAGCAUAAACUCAUCAUCAAGGCUGACCCAGAAAGAUGCUGAAGCACCAAAGUACUGCCAACUCUCUAUUAUUUGGGAUAUUUUAGGGAUGGAAAUGAGAACUGAGGAAUCCCAAAUUAUGGAAAAUAAUUUGAUAGAAGGUAUAUGUGGCUGUGCAGUAACUGCAUGAACUUGGUCAGCUCAAGUACUGAAAAUAAAUUGGUGCUUAUUACCUCCCUUUAAUAAUUCUCUUUGAAAAGCCAGUGGAGCAUCUUGGUAUUCAUGAUAUGGAAGGCAUUCAGCAUGGCUAAUGUUUUGAUAAUUUACAAAACAUAUGCAUAUAGCUUUACAUUUGUAUUAUUUAUAAAAACAUGCAGCUUUUGAAUGUACAUAUUUGCACAGAAAUUUUGCUAGUAUUAUGUAAAACAUGAGCAAUUUACAAGUUAUUUAAGAUGAAGGUAAUUUAUAAAUGUGUAUUAUUGUACUGUUAGACUACAGCAAUGUUUUUCUAGUUUUGCCAUUGUUCUCCUGGACUUCUGCAAAGUAAUACUUCAAGUGAGAGCAUCCACUGAAUUUCUGUGGAGUUAUUAGAUGUUGCCUGAUAUUUUUGAGCACUUGUGAAAAGGUGUUCCAAUGUCUAGUGAUGAAAAUACUGGAAUAUCAUGUAACCAUCAUAUCACUGGUUGUAUCAAUCAUAUAACCAUUGCUAACUGCCAAGUACAGCAGGUCUUUAGGGAACUCUUUAGUUUCUUAUAUCCCCACUGAGCAACUGGUGUUUGAAUAAAAGGCAGUGGUCCCAUUUCUUCCCUACUUGUGUGGAUGUCAUAGUUCAGUUAAACCCAGCAGAAACUGAGCUAAAAAAUUCUACAUAAAUUCUCACUGAGGUGUUUGUUCCAAGUAAGACAUGCUUUUCAAUAUUUUUUUCCCUUACAGGAAUCCUUUAUCUAGAUAAAUGUAUCCUACAAAUCUUGAAAGAAAACAAACAUUCUCUUAAAAGCAGACUGUAAAACAGUUGCUUUCCAGAACUUCAUCCUCUUAUAAAGCUUCUUUUUUGCAGGACUCAGCUCUGCUAAGCUCCCUGCUACAAUAUCUCAGCUUGUUCCAUUUGACGGCUGUUCCCCUGUCAUCACUCAUUUUCAGUGGGCAAGGGGGAGCAAUUGCUGGGCAUCAAAUCAUCAUCAAGUAAACCAGCCUUGACACUAGUUAAAAAGGGAGAUGGAUGGUCAGUUGGCUUCUACAGAAAAUAUUCUCUUAAGUAUCCUACCAAGGUCCCUUGAUACCAACCUAGUGGUUUUCUUUCUUUCUUUCUUUUUUAUUUUAUUUUUUUUAAUGGGAGCAGAGCAAUCGCCUAUAUUUCUUCUGGGUCAUAAUUUGAUGGCAGGUUUCCUCAGGGGAGGAGCACAGGGGUUAGGUGAGUAAGCUCUGCAUUCAACAAUUAAACAUCAGAAAUACAAGCUGUGAAGGAAAUAGCUUCCUUUCCUUGCCUGUAAUGGGCAAUCAAAACCUCCCCACAUUCUGUAUCUUCAGGAAUGCCAAGCAUACUUCGGUGUACCAUCCAUUGUUCAUUUGUUUGUUCCUCCCCCUCCCGUAACUUCCAACAUAUCUUUCAAUUCAUAAUAAAAGGUUCACAAAUAGCCUGAAAAUUAAAGGAUUGCUUGUAAGAUUGACCAUGAAGGUGACAGUACUGGUCCUUUAGAAUGUUGCUUUCAAAUGAUAGGGAAAAUAACUCCACAAUUUGUUCAUUUGUAGAAUGAAUAAAUAAAUAGUAAAUAUCAGAAAGUGCUGCUGAAGUUAUGCAAGAGAAAAAUAACAAGAAGUAUAUAUAUGUAUGUAUUUAUAUAUGGCUUUUGGGCAGUAAGUUUGCAUUGCAUAUUGUACCACACUAGGAACACCAACAGAAAAAACAGCACAGAUGUCUUCCCAAAGUAUGAAUCUUAGAUGUUAGAACUAUGAUAUACAAAUGAACACUUUGGAGUAAAGGACUGUAAAUUUUGCUCUUCUCAUUAUCAUUGUGUCUGUAAAUGUCUUUCUCUCACCAUGCCUCCUCAUCCCUCUCCCACAAAAAAAAAAAAAAAAAAAGGGAAAAAAAAGGUAGAAAAAAAUUCCCCAAAACAACAGCAACAAAAAUAACCCCAAUCUCUGACAGAAUUUGGAACUGAAAAAAAAAAAUAGAACAAAAGCAUUGAGCAUUCAGUGAUUGUCUCGAGCAGGAUUUUUGGUGCUAUCAAUAUUAUUACUACAAUACAGAAAAAGCAAUUUUGAUAAUAAUUUUGCAAGAGUGGUACAGAAGUUCCCAAAAGCAUAACCCUUCUCAGAUUUAUCUGCCUACUGAGGUCUCAUUAAAGUCAAUGAGAAUUUGGAGACUCUCUAAUGGAGGAAAAGCCAGUACAAAGCAUAAAUGUUCAGACAGUGCCUCAAGGUCCUUACUCCAGCAAAAUUCUUACAUAAAUCAGUGGAAAUUUUGUCUCGGGGGAAAAUCAGAAAUGAACCUCAUUUUGUUUGUAAAGACUGAAAUAUUUAAAAUUUUAAACCGGCAAUAAUGUUAGUAUGCCCUUUGCACAAUUGUUUAAAAAAAAUUGGAGGGGUCAAUCCUGCAAAAUCCUGACAUCUCUGGAAGUUUCUGUAAGCUAAAGCAAGCUCCUAAUACUCAGCAAAGGAGAAGGGAUCUCAGUACUUCUGCCUCUGAAACACAGCAUGGUCCCAGCUGAGGCAGGAUGGGAAGCUGAGACCAGGCAGUGACAGCUUGAUUGAGGAAGAGGAACAAUGUAGUAGAGUGCCUUCUGAUUUUAAUUCACAUGAUGCUCUUUAUUACCCUUAGGGAUAAGAGGUACUAUUUAAAAUUGCUUUUAACACUAUUUAUUUCAAAAAUAUUUUACUGGAACACGACCUAUGUUCCAGUUAUAGAAUGUAUGUUCUGAGUUAUAGAAUGCAUGGUGUCCUGGGGGAGUCCUGGGGUUAGAUAUUUAUGGGGAAAAAAAUAACCAAACAAAAACAAAACAACAACAAAAAUCCCCCCCAAACAGAGGAAAAUUAAGAAUAAGCAGAAUUUAGGUUUGCAAACAUUUCUAUUUUUUAUAAAACAAAAUUAUUUUAGUUCCUAUUAAGGAAUUAAUAUACCAUAUAUAAAUAACUUUAAAUCAGUUGAAUCAUAAGUAAGCCAUUAUGUUAUUGACUGGAAUUGUUUCUCUGAUCAUUAAUUUAUGGGAUGGGAUUUUAUAAUGAUGCUGACUCUAUUUGGCAGUCUGUGUAUUCACUGUAAUGUGAAGGUCUACAUAGCAAUACUAAAGAUAAUACUCCUUAACAAAAAUUGCUUUACUAUUGAUGCAACAGAAGUCAGAAUAUACAGGUAAAAUAGACUAAGUUUAUAAUUUUCUUGAUUCAGGUCCAUGAUACUUGUGCAGUUAUUUAUAUUACACUUUCUGAUGUUUUACUUUUGCAGUCAUUACAGAGUGAAGAAAAAGAUUAUACUUAAUGUUUUUUUGUUUUUCCAUGGAGGAAGCAAAUAAAAAAAAAAAAAGGAGCAGUUAUUCUGAGGUUUUGUGAAGUCUGUAAACGGAUUCAGGGAACAUACAUGCUCUCUGUUAUUAAAAAGGUCUGAAUUAGAUCAUGGUACAGCUCAGGGAUGAGUAGCCAUAAGUGAAGAGCAAAACUGCAGAACUGGGCAACAGAGGUUCAGCAACAGAGGAGAACUCCACAGCUGAAGGAUUACUGGAAUCAAAUCAUAUCCUUGGUGAAAGCUGACUCAACCAAAACACUCCAAUACAUCCUUCAUCACUCUGUGUGGACUGGUAACAAGCUCUUCAUUGUAGUUCUGCUUGCUGGAAGAACUGUGUGUGCCCAUGGCAGCAAACCUGAGUAGUUUUUUAUGGGAACAGCCACAUUUCUGUGUUAAUACAGACCAACACUGACUGGUAGAUUUUACAGGAAGAGACAUAUACAGUACAGUAGUGCACUAUUGAAAUUCAUGUGGCCUCCAGACAUUUCAGUCAGACUCAGGACUCAAUAGUACUUCAUAUGUGAUGCAUGUGAGAAAAGCAAUAAAGUUUGAGAGAUUUUUACAGAAUAUUUUUUUGCUGUUAUAACUAGCAUAAAAGACAAAUGCAAAUUUUUUGAUUGUUAAAAGUUAUUGAAACUAAUCAAUGCUACUUAAUUUAAAUAUUUGAAAAUAUGGAUGCAAGAGAGCUUUAUUUGACAGGUAUUUAACUCAAAGUUUCUCAGACUGAAAAAAUAUGCAAUCAAACAAUAUCUGCUUUACUGAAUUAAUGGGGAUAAUAAUGUAAUACUUCUAACUGUUAUUUUCAUUCAAUUUUGUUCAGUAAAAUCCUUAUAUAUCCUCUUUUCUGUGCCAGUGUUUUUCAUUUUACUUGUAUAAAGACAGAUUGAAAAGAGAACCUGAAAGCAAGCGAGAGGAGGUAUUUUCAUAGAGCAGUGUUAAAUU